UCUCCUUCUCGGCCUUUUGGCUAAGAUCAAGUGUAGUAUCUGUUCUUAUCAGUCUAUCCUUCUCUCAUUCCCCCUUU
RNAcentral lists this small nuclear RNA (77 nucleotides) under Canis lupus familiaris (dog). RNAcentral describes it as "U2 spliceosomal RNA (ENSCAFG00805029514.1, ENSCAFG00845020304.1)". It matches the Rfam family "U2 spliceosomal RNA", at positions 1 to 74 of the family's 192-position model. Rfam says of the family: U2 is a small nuclear RNA (snRNA) component of the spliceosome (involved in pre-mRNA splicing). Complementary binding between U2 snRNA (in an area lying towards the 5' end but 3' to hairpin I) and the branchpoint sequence (BPS) of the intron results the bulging out of an unpaired adenosine, on the BPS, which initiates a nucleophilic attack at the intronic 5' splice site, thus starting the first of two transesterification reactions that mediate splicing. The record is from Rfam by way of RNAcentral. Lineage: Eukaryota; Metazoa; Chordata; Mammalia; Carnivora; Canidae.